UCCUUCUUUUUUUCAUUCUCACUAACUACACUCCUUCUUUCUCUCCCUUCCUUUUCUUACGCACAACAUACACAAGAGCACACAGUAUAGGUGCAACUAUAUAUAUAUAACAUUUCCAAACUGUAAAAAAAACAUAACACGUAGAGUACCACAAAAGAAACAUUGGUACGUCCCAGUUAUAGUGUGAAGAAUCACUCCCCAACCACAAAACUCAUGCAUGCCGCUAUUAUCUUUCCAGGUUGAUCUCAUUCCU
Molecule: small RNA, 253 nt
Filed under: Vigna angularis var. angularis
Lineage: Eukaryota; Viridiplantae; Streptophyta; Magnoliopsida; Fabales; Fabaceae
Description: Non-protein coding transcript
Source: RNAcentral